Non-coding RNA from Solanum lycopersicum (tomato), 1210 nucleotides. NCBI's taxonomy places the organism in Eukaryota, Viridiplantae, Streptophyta, Magnoliopsida, Solanales, Solanaceae. The record is from RefSeq and is a predicted model, not a curated record.
ACAAGGGCAAAUUUGUCAUUUUGGUCAAAGACAAAUUUUUAUGACUAGCUUUUUGGCCUUUCUAGAAGACUCGUGAAGUCAUUUUUCUUUCCAACAAUGAAGAAUUUCCAGAAGACUUGUUUCAUCCAAACUUAAAUUUUUCAAUUUCAUAACUUGACUUCAUCGAUACCGUGGUUAUUAUUCUACCCACUCUAUCUCGUAUGUUCUCUUUGAUUUUUCAUCGGUACAAAUUAGUUUUCUCUCUAAAGAAUACAGUGGUUUUGCAGAAGUUUGUUAUCAUAACAAUUUCCGGCAUUCAUAACGAUUGACUAAGUAUGUUGCACUUGGCUGAACUGGUUGAGAAACAUAAUGAUCAAAUUGCAACGUUCGAGACUUGGGACACUGAGAAGCCAUAUGAACAGGCUGUUAAGAUUGGAGUACGCUGGCUGGCUAGGCAGAUAAAAUUCUUGAUAUGACUAUUCCUGCUGAAGGACCAUAUUGCAUUCAAACGUUGCAUGAACGGAUUGAAUUUGCUGGUUAGAUUAUCUCAUGAAAUUUUCCUCUCCUCGUGUUCUCUUGGAAGAUGAGCCCUACUUUCACUUGUGGCGUUAAAAAUGCUGAGCAGACCCCUUUAACUACACUCUAUGUAGAAAAUCUGUUGCAGGAGAUAGCAUCAAAAUUCUCUCUUUUAUUGCCCAAAAGAGUCGUUUUGCACAUUAGCUUUAAACUCAGUAAGAACUACAUUGAGGUACAAUGUACCAUAUAAAGUCGGGGUUUCUUGAUUGACAUACGACAAAUGGAGAGCUCUGACUAUGCAUCGGUCUCUCACCAAAAAGUUUGUUCAAGUUGUGUGAUAUAUUUAGGUGGAAUGCUUUCGAUUUUUAGCCCUCAAAAGAAGAUGGUUGUGUUAUUCUUCAAAUAUAGAAUCAGAUUUUGUUAUCUUGAGUCAAUUGAAGCAAGUUUCCAAGGUGGAAACUGGAAAUAAUCUGUCAAAACAUGAGAAGGUUCAAAAACUUAUCAUGUAACAGUGGUUAGAAGCUUUAAGUCGCACAUAUAUUUUUGUCUAAUGUAUGUAAAAAAUAUAAUUAGAUCCAAAGUGCAUAUGAACUUAAACAAUUAUUUGUUUAAUCAAAUAUGCUGCAUUAGUAUAUUUAUCAGAUCAACAUUAAAGUUGCCUAAUGCAUGUAAUACUUUUAAUCUUUAUAUUUGAAUUAGAUGUCGUUGAAUUAAA